AUACUAAGAAAUUAUAAAGAGUGAUGAUUGGUUUUCAUGCUCAUGUAUGAGAUGUGCCUUCCUCGAACCUUGUUAAAAUGUUGACACAUUACCCAUUUAAAG
Small nucleolar RNA from Macaca fascicularis (crab-eating macaque), 102 nucleotides. Lineage: Eukaryota; Metazoa; Chordata; Mammalia; Primates; Cercopithecidae. The record is from Ensembl.